This 443-nucleotide ribosomal RNA is filed under the name uncultured Porphyromonadaceae bacterium. RNAcentral's name for it is "bacterial SSU rRNA". It matches the Rfam family "Bacterial small subunit ribosomal RNA", at positions 355 to 794 of the family's 1533-position model. The record is from RNAcentral. Lineage: Bacteria; Pseudomonadati; Bacteroidota; Bacteroidia; Bacteroidales; Porphyromonadaceae.
UGAGGAAUAUUGGUCAAUGGGCGAGAGCCUGAACCAGCCAAGUCGCGUGAAGGAUGAAGGUUCUAUGGAUUGUAAGCUUCUUUUAUUCGAGGGUAAAGUGAGGUACGUGUACCUUAUUGCAAGUAUCGAAUGAAUAAGCAUCGGCUAACUCCGUGCCAGCAGCCGCGGUAAUACGGAGGAUGCGAGCGUUAUCCGGAUUUAUUGGGUUUAAAGGGUGCGUAGGCGGAUUAUUAAGUCAGCGGUGAAAGCGUGUGGCUCAACCAUACAGUUGCCGUUGAUACUGGUAGUCUUGAGUGUAAACGAGGUAGGCGGAAUGUGAUGUGUAGCGGUGAAAUGCAUAGAUAUGACGCAGAACUCCGAUUGCGAAGGCAGCUUUCCAGCGCGCUACUGACGCUGAGGCACGAAAGCGUGGGGAUCGAACAGGAUUAGAUACCCUGGGUAGU